UACGGGGGGAGCAAGCGUUGUUCGGAUUUACUGGGCGUAAAGGGCGCGUAGGCGGUCAGCACAAGUCAGUUGUGAAAUCUCCGGGCUUAACUCGGAAAGGUCAACUGAUACUGUGCGACUAGAGUGCGGAAGGGGCAACUGGAAUUCUUGGUGUAGCGGUGAAAUGCGUAGAUAUCAAGAGGAACACCUGCGGCGAAGGCGGCUUUUUGGUCUGUAACUGACGCUGAGGCGCGAAAGCGUGGGGAGCAAACAGG
RNAcentral lists this ribosomal RNA (254 nucleotides) under uncultured bacterium. RNAcentral describes it as "partial 16S ribosomal RNA". It matches the Rfam family "Bacterial small subunit ribosomal RNA", at positions 524 to 776 of the family's 1533-position model. The record is from RNAcentral.